UUGUGCUUCCUCGUCUACCCGCGUUCAUCCGUGGGUGAGGACUAUUACUUGAAUACUUGCCCCCUCCUUUUUUCCGCCUUUCUGCGAUAGGGGCUGAUUGUGCUUCCUCGUCUACCCGCGUUCAUCCGUGGGUGAGGACUAUUACUCUUUGCUGCUGUGUUCCCCGUCUAACCUACGUUCUUCCGUAGGUGGGGUUCACUUUUUGCCGCUGUGUUCCCCGUCUAACCUACGUUCUUCCGUAGGUGGGGUUCACUUUUGAGUACAUCCCUCGUCUAACACUACGUUUCCGUAGGUGAGGUUCACUCUUGCCGAUGUGUUCCCCGUCUAAUACUACGUUCUUCCGUAGGUGAGGUUCACUCUUGCCGAUGUGUUCCCCGUCUAAUACUACGUUCUUCCGUAGGUGGGGUUCACUCUUGGCCGCUGUGUUCCCCGUCUAACCUACGUUCUUCCGUAGGUGGGGUUCACUUUUGAGUACAUCCCUCGUCUAACACUACGUUUCCGUAGGUGAGGUUCACUCUUGCCGAUGUUGCCGAUGUGUUCCCCGUCUAACACUACGUUCUUCCGUAGGUGGGGUUCACUUUUGAGUACGUCCCUCGUCUAACACUACGUUUCCGUAGGUGAGGUUCACU
This 629-nucleotide long non-coding RNA is filed under the name Zostera marina. Its description in RNAcentral is "long non-coding RNA (ZMAR_LNC002551)". Lineage: Eukaryota; Viridiplantae; Streptophyta; Magnoliopsida; Alismatales; Zosteraceae. The record is from RNAcentral.